CUCCUGCCCGCCACGUUUCCUUCCUGCUGGGGGGCUUCUGUUCUCCCAGACCGGGUCGGUGCUCUUUUCCCCCGGCGCCCCUCCCCCACCCAGCCCGGGCCUUGCCUGCCGCAGCCACCUUCUUCUCUGAUGCUGUGUCCUGGACUUGGUGACAAUGGCAAAUUGACAAGAAGGCGAGCCUGGGCCUUUCCUGCGGCGACAUCCAGCUUCCCCCGCCCCUCCCUGGGUGGGUGCCCACCACACGCCCAGCCUGCCGCGUGCUUAUCCAGGCCCUCCAGGCCAGGCCUCCGGGUCUUAUGGAAGAAGGCCCCGUGUCUGGGCAGUGCCGUGGCUGUGAGUGAGCAUCCGGGGCCAGUCAGAUGUGCCGUCUCCGGAGGUCACUUCCAUAGUGGCCAUCAACAGCUUGGCCAAACUCGGCCGCAGGAUCUUUUCCUAUCAAUUGCAGGAUGGACUCUUCCCGCAGCCAUGCGACCUGUGGCCCGCGGUCCUGCUCCCUGAGCUGGAGGAGGCUGAACAGAAUGAGCAGGUUGAGGCCUGUGGGAAGGAAGAGCCACAUCUCCUUCAUGUUUAUUACCCCCUCCGCAGGCCAUAGCUAGGAGGCCUUGAAGGUUUUUUUAAGGGGGAAAGGGGGUUUCCAGAACCACAGCCGGCUCAGCAGAAAGUCUCCACCAACAGAAUCUGUGGGCGCACAUUCCUCAACAGCUGAAGAAGGGGCUGGAGGGGCUCAUGGCAUCCCCUCCAGAGGCAGGCCCAGGGCCCUGUGUGCAGUGGGGGGUCCUGCAUCUGCAUUGUUGUUAAGAAAGUGACAUUUGGCUACAUGGAGUGACUCAUGCCUGUAAUCCCAGCACUUUGGGAGGCUGAAGCUGUCAGAUUGCUUGGGCCCAGGAGUUCGAGAUCAGCCUGGGCAACUUGGUGAAACCUCAUUUCUUUUUUUUUGAGACAGGGUCUCACUCUGUAGCCAAGACUGGAGUGCAGUGGCACAAUCUCGGCUCACCGCAACCUCCACUUCCCAGGCUCAAGUGAUUCUCCUGACUCAGCCUCCCGAGUAGCUGGGAUUACAGGUGUGCACCACCACGCCUGACUAAUUUUUGUAUUGUUAGUAGAGACGGGGUUUCACCAUGUUGGCCAGGUUGGUGUUGAACUCCUGACUUCAAAUGAUCCACCUGCCUUGGCCUCCCAAAGUGCUGGGAUUACAGGCCUGAGCCACUGCGCCCGGACUUUUUUUUUUUUUUGAGAUGGAGUUUCGCUCUGUCACCCAGGCUGGAGUGUGGUGGCAUGAUCUCGGCUCACUGCAACCUCCACCUCCCAGGGUCAAGUGAUUCUCCUGGGUCAGCCUCCGGAGUAGCUGGGAUUACAGUUUUUCUUCCCAGGGUCUCCCCAAGAGCUGCUUCCUUUGACUCCUGCUGUGUGUAGUUCUGCUGACAAUGACCUGGACAGCUCUGCGCCAUGCACAGCGUCUCUUUUCUCCGACUUACCAAAUUUUAGACACUACUGACUCCUCCAUGUGAAAGAUGGGAAUUCAGCUACAUCACAUUACCCUACAAACUUUAUUGUUAAUAUUUCUUCCCGGUCAGCCCCAAACACUGAAUGUAAAUACGGUCCAACAUCAACCUGCAAACGAACACUGACAUGAAAGUGCAGUUGGAAAGGAUCUCGCAAAGGAACAGAAUCUGGUGAUCCUAAUCGUAAUGAACGUGAUCGCCGGGUAUUGAGAGCUUGCAGGUACCAGGGCUCCGGCACUACGUGUUUCACAGGGGCCACUCGGUAGACCUCUUGGUGACCUUGAGGUCAGGUACCACGUUCCCAUUUUACAGAGGAGGAAACUGAGAUAACCUACGACAGCGAAAAGGUAGCAGAGCUGGGACUGGUGCCCAGGCUCGCCGAGUGGAAAAGCCCUCGGCCACCGUGGAGAGCUCGCUUCCUGUGGUCUGAAGCGUCGCCCCUGCACCGGCUUCUGCUGCCAAGGAUGGCUUUUCCUCACUGGUGCCCACCUACGCUCACUUGUGUCAUGUGGUUAAGCCCUUUUGGCAACAUAAGACCUUUCCCAAGAAUGUGCCUCGGUGCAGAGGAAGACGGUGGGGGCAGGCCCCCUCCCCGGGAUGCUCCACCCUCCCUGACCUCACACGGGUGCAACCUGGGCCGUGGCCGAGACCUGCUGUGUGGCAGACAAUGGGAAGCCUGUGUGUCGUCCUGGGUGCCGGAUUUAGACAAUAUUUAGCUUUCCCUUGGUGGAAAAGCCUUUCCCCUCCUGCUUUGGGCAGGAACUGGUUCCUGUUGGGCGGGGCCUGGCUGCUGCCCCACCCCCACCCGGCCGGGCACCUUGACCGGCAGCUCUCCGGGCUGCUCCCUGCCUGUGUCCCUGAGCACUGACUCCAGAGGUUUAAUCAUUAACGGGCACGUUUGGCCUUCGGUCGUGGGCUGGAAUUUGGGACCUGUGCCCGGGAACAAUGAUCUCCGACACAUUAUUUUGUGUAAAAUCACUUUUAGCUGCCAUUAGCUAAUAAAGCUGGAAUAAAGUGAGGUCCAUUAACCAGCA
Molecule: long non-coding RNA, 2536 nt
Filed under: Homo sapiens (human)
Lineage: Eukaryota; Metazoa; Chordata; Mammalia; Primates; Hominidae
Description: HSALNT0216550
Source: RNAcentral